GACGAACGCUAGCGGCGUGCCUAAUACAUGCAAGUCAAACGGUUUAUUUCCUAGCGGCACGUCUCUUGGAACUAGGCAGUGUCGGUCAGGUGAGUAACACGUACGCUAUCUACCUGUCAAACCCGCAUAACCUCGGGUAACCGCACCUAAACCCUGAUAAGCUCCUUUUUCACGUGAUUAGGGAGGGAAAACGUUCUACCUUAUGACAGCUGGGCCUGCGGCGGAUUAGCUAGUAGGUAGGGUAACGGCCUACCUAGGCGAUGAUGCGUAGCCGACCUGAGAGGGCGUACGGCCACACGGGGACUGAGAUACGGCCCCGACUCCUACGGGAGGCAGCAGUAGGGAAUCUUCGGCAAUGGGCGAAAGCCUGACCGAGCCACGCCGCGUGAGUGAGGAAGGCCUUCGGGUUGGAAAACUCUGUUGGUGGGGAAGAAGGGAAAGGGUAGCAUCGUUAGGUGACGGUACCAAACGAGAAAGCCUCGGCUAACUACGUG
This 494-nucleotide ribosomal RNA is filed under the name uncultured bacterium. Its description in RNAcentral is "partial 16S ribosomal RNA". It matches the Rfam family "Bacterial small subunit ribosomal RNA", at positions 28 to 507 of the family's 1533-position model. The record is from RNAcentral.